UACGUAGGUCCCGAGCGUUGUCCGGAUUUAUUGGGCGUAAAGCGAGCGCAGGUGGUUUAUUAAGUCUGGAGUGAAAGCCCACGGCUUAACCGUGGAGGGUCAUUGGAAACUGGUUGACUUGAGUGCAGAAGAGGGAAGUGGAAUUCCAUGUGUAGCGGUGAAAUGCGUAGAGAUAUGGAGGAACACCAGUGGCGAAGGCGGCUUCCUGGUCUGCAACUGACACUGAGGCGCGAAAGCGUGGGGAGCAAACAGG
This 253-nucleotide ribosomal RNA is filed under the name uncultured bacterium. RNAcentral's name for it is "partial 16S ribosomal RNA". It matches the Rfam family "Bacterial small subunit ribosomal RNA", at positions 524 to 776 of the family's 1533-position model. The record is from RNAcentral.